RNAcentral lists this long non-coding RNA (745 nucleotides) under Gallus gallus (chicken). Lineage: Eukaryota; Metazoa; Chordata; Aves; Galliformes; Phasianidae. The record is from RNAcentral.
UUAUCUUGAAGGGAAGGCAGUUUGUAGUAGAGCCUAAAACCACACUAAGCUUUUAUAAAACCUCACUUUAAAAUUAUACUAUAGUAACAACAUUUGCACUUAAUAUAUUUGAAAAUUUUAUUUAAUAGCCUCAUAAGUAGUUACAUAAUAGUUACAUCGCGGCUUUUAAAAAGGAUUGCACUCAGCUACUCAGUCCAUUGAAAUACUACAAAACAGGGAAAAGGAAAUUAUGGAGUGUAGAGGAGCUCUGUCCACUGGACUGAGUUGUUUGUAGCAUGUUCCUACUGAAUUGGAAGACGUCCUCAUGCCUUCUGGUAGACUCUAACACACUUGACACCAUUCAUGUCACAUUCCACCACCAACUGUCCAUCCACAAGUUUCCGUGUUAUUACGGUCUUCUUGCCAUCCCAUUCCUGCUCCUGGAUCAAUGACCCAUCAUCUUUUAAGCUGACAAGGGUCUGAGUUUUUCUGCCAUCUAAUGUGUUUUCCUCAAACUUCUCACCAAUCUUGAAGCUGAACUGUGAAGUUUUGAAGGUGCUUUCCGUUUUCACAGUGAUUGUAUCCCCCUCCUUAAUGAUGUAAACAUCUGGUUUCGCCAUGCUUCCCAUUUUUCUCAUGGCCAUACCCACACCCAGCUCCUUCAUGUAGUCCUCAAAGCCCUCGCUGGAGACCAGGCACCAUUUGCCUAAAAACGCGUCGAUGGCCAUGGCGAUGGCGGCGGCGGUGGCUGCGUCCCCGAAGAAGC